Molecule: ribosomal RNA, 443 nt
Filed under: uncultured bacterium
Lineage: Bacteria
Description: partial 16S ribosomal RNA
Rfam family: Bacterial small subunit ribosomal RNA
Source: RNAcentral
CCUACGGGUGGCAGCAGUGGGGAAUAUUGGGCAAUGGGCGCAAGCCUGACCCAGCAACGUCGCGUGAAGGAAGAAGGCUUUCGGGUUGUAAACUUCUUUUCUCAGGGACGAAGCAAGUGACGGUACCUGAGGAAUAAGCCUCGGCUAACUACGUGCCAGCAGCCGCGGGAAUACGUCGGUGGCAAGCGUUAUCCGGAUUUACUGGGUGUAAUGGGCGUGUAGGGGGGAAAGCAAGUCAGAUGUGAAAACCAUGGGCUCAACCUGUGGCCUGCAUUGGAAACUGUCUUUCUUGAGUACUGGAGAGGCAGACGGAAUGCCUAGUGUAGCGGUGAAAUGCGUAGAUAUUAGGAGGAACACCAGUGGCGAAGGCGGUCUGCUGCACAGCAACUGACGCUGAGGCGCGAAAGCGUGGGGAGCAAACAGGAUUAGAUACCCGUGUAGUC